AUAACCACCUCCACCCCCAUCAAAACCGCCGCCGCCAUCACCACCUCCACCACCACCUCCAUCUCCUCCAUUGCCUCCAUCUCCACCUCCAAAACAAUCACCACAAUCACCACAAUCGCCACCAUCGCCACCAUCGCCACCAUCAACAUUUUUAUGACGCUUUUUCUCCUCAGGGUCAUCGGCGCAGUCUGCACAACCUAAGAUUAGCAUCAACAUAAUUGAUAGAGAUAUAACAAUCAUGCCAAGCAUGAACACAAACCCCAAACCAUCUGAGAAAAGACCUCCUUCACUUGCAGCACUGCCCCCAUUUCCAACAACAAAAUACCGAGCCAUGUUGAUUGAAAAAGGAUAAAUAUUGAGAGGACUCGACACCCUAUGCGUGUGUGUGUGUAGAGAGAGAGAGAGAGAGAGAGAGAAUUGUGGGGUUUUCAAAUUUUCUAUUUAAUUGCAUAUAUAUAUAUAUAGAGAGAGAGAGAGAGAGAGAGAGAGAGAGAGAGAGAGAGAGAGAGAGAGAGAUGAAU
RNAcentral lists this long non-coding RNA (521 nucleotides) under Olea europaea (common olive). RNAcentral's name for it is "long non-coding RNA (OEUR_LNC008114)". Lineage: Eukaryota; Viridiplantae; Streptophyta; Magnoliopsida; Lamiales; Oleaceae. The record is from RNAcentral.